RNAcentral lists this ribosomal RNA (480 nucleotides) under uncultured bacterium. RNAcentral's name for it is "SSU rRNA". It matches the Rfam family "Bacterial small subunit ribosomal RNA", at positions 26 to 518 of the family's 1533-position model. The record is from RNAcentral.
AGGACGAACGCUGGCGGCGUGCUUAACACAUGCAAGUCGAGCGAGGCCCUUCCUUCGGGAAGGUGCCCUAGCGGCGAACGGGUGAGUAACACGUGGGCAACCUGCCCCUAGCACUGGGAUAACUCCGGGAAACCGGGGCUAAUACCGGAUAUGACCUUCUUGGGCAUCCUGGAAGGUGUAAAGGAUUCUGGCUAGGGAUGGGCCCGCGGCCUAUCAGCUUGUUGGUGGGGUAAUAGCCUACCAAGGCGACGACGGGUAGCCGGCCUGAGAGGGUGACCGGGCCACGACCUGGGACUGAGACACGGCCCAGACUCCUACGGGAGGCAGCAGUGGGGAAUCUUGCACAAUGGGCGAAAGCCUGAUGCAGCGACGCGCGUGAGGGAUGACUGCCUUCGGGUUGUAAACCUCCUUCAGCAGGGACGAAGCGAAAGUGACGGUACCUGCAGAAGAAGCACCGGCCAACUACGUGCCAGCAGCCGC